AGUCGACACAGCUACUAAUUGCUGUUGAGUGUGUAUUAAAAAUAUAAUUACGUCCUACAAGCUACAGCCGCCAUUAGAAAGUGUAGUCAAACAGGCAACAAUUUCAACGAUGACCUAUGGACAAUCUCGAGUAGAAUGAUGUCAAGAAGGUGUAGUCAUCCAGGUAUGACUAUUCAUGGCUUUAAGACCUUAAAUCGAUUUAGCAUUUAGUUAAAUUACUGCACAAUGUGGUAUGGUGCAACAUUGGAUGCCCAGUUUGGUAACGUAGUGCACAUUUCGUGCAGAGAGAGAAAGCGACCAAUGCUAUCACUGCCUUCUAAGCUUCAAGUUCAAAUCAUUGGACGCAUAUGCAGCGGUUUGAAGGCGAUAAGGAGAUUGAAUUGAAAGGAGAUGCGGCACACAUAUUUCGGUUCACAAUCCGUGUGGAUGUAUGACACUUCUUUAUUGAAAUCAACCGCAGGGGGAAGUGUCGUUAAAGAGAAAACGAGGAUGUGAUUUCCCCCUGGGUGAAUUUGAUAUUCAUGUGGGUAAACUCACCCAGUCCGACUUUUCCAAGAGCCCUCUUGAAGCACAUGGGAAAGAUCUGUGUAGGGGAGGUACAGGAGCAUGGCUGACCGUCUGGACUAUUCCAGUGAAGCUCGGUCCAGACAAGAAUCGGCUUCCUAGCCGUCACAUCUCGACCAGAGCCUAAGCUCCUCUCAGACACACUCCUGCUUCACCAGCUCCCUGAAAUCAAUGCUACAUUAUUUCUAUCAUGGGAUGCGUCAAAUCCAAGAAGAGCGAUCCGACCCAGUACGCCAACUCGGUGGAGAAGGUGGACGGCAAGCUUGGGAAGCGAUGGGGCGAGAAUGCGCUGCUGGUCCACUCUGAGACGGGGUCAGGGAAAGACUCUGCCCGGGUGGACCCCAUCCUGCUGGAGUAUGCCCAGCGGCUGUCGGAGGAGAUUGUGGCCCGGGCAGUGCAGCAGUGGCUGGAGGUGGACAGCCGCUACAGUGACAUCCCCUACAUCGAGUGUGACGUGCCAUGAGGGGAGGGGGCAGGCAGUGCAAGAGGCAUUUCUGUUCUGGGAUUCACCUUGACCCUCUGGGGAGAGAGAGACAAAUGGAUGCCCAGAAGACAGGAGACCAGACAGCACUCAGAUUCAGGGUGAAACAAAAAACACUACGAACAUGUACCAGCUGGAGAUGACAGUUUAUCCCAAUCUAUGGUCCAAAGCCAUUUUUCUGUUUAAUUAAUACAUACUUGGAUGUUGUAACUCAUUUGGUGACAUUUUGACCUUGACUAACAGACAAAGACCUUGGCUACUCCUCUCAUAUUCAAUCUAGACCAUGUGCUUCCCUCCAUCGUUAGCUGGAGGAUGAGAGUUGGGGUGGGUUUGGUUAAACCGUCUUGGGAGCCAAUAAAGCAGGAGAGUAUCAUUGAAUCCUGCUUUGAAAAUUACCGGUUCUGCCUUUCAGUAAAAUUAUACCGUUUUUGUUGUUGUUGCUUGACGCGUGUCAUCCUGGGGCCAAAUUUCAGGUCCUAUGUAGGAAGUUAUUAAUAGGCCCCUCAAGUGGCCAGUGUUUUUCACUUGAAAUGUUUGCUGGGAUCAGCAGCUACACACCUCCCUCUCCAUCUGUCUUCCCAGACAGAAGCUCCCAGUUUAGGGUUAUUGGAUAAUGGCGUCCCAGGGGGCCUGUGGUCCACAUCCACCAACAAAGGAAACUCAUUCUUCAAACUACCCAUGAAGUAGGUCCGGGACGAUACCAGUAUCGCGAUAUUCGUUAGUAUCGGGGCAAGGAAACAAAACAUGAAGCGAAUUUAACUUCAGCCCUAAUGUUGGAAACAAAAAUAAUUAUGUUGUCCCAUUCAUUUAUUUUCCAAGCUAUAGCACACAAUAUUUUACAUACAGCAGGUUUUUAAAGGACCAAAGAGCUUCGUGUUUUUAUUUUUGCCAUGGAAAGAAUAUCGCGAUACGGGUAUUGUCCCGGCCCUACCAUUAAGCAUGUUUGACCACGAGCUGCAGCAACCGAGGACCUGACUACGGUCACUUUGACAAAAUGAUGCUCUAGGAAUGUUUUACAGAGGUUCAGCGUCCUCCCAUUUUGUGCAUUUGAAUGCCAAUGACAAUAGGACAUUCCUGAGGGCUGGCUAGGUCCGCAUGCCAUGAGUAAAUCAGGACAUUAGGACGGAUUCACACACUUUUACCGGGACUUUGCUUCUGGGCACAAAAAGAGUGCUGGGUUCACAAAUACCUUUUGUUUUGGCCAAAAAUGUCUAGGGCCAAGCACCCUGGUUUUUACUUACUGUAUUCUAUCCAAUGAUGAACUACUGCCAUCUGCCCCAUAGAAUUUACAGCAGAAAUAUGCAACUCUAAAAGGCCAUGCUAUUUUUAUUAAGAGCAAAUGGCAUCUUAAUUGUAUGAUGCUAUUUUAACAGGCCAAAGACACACAUACUCACAACAGAGAGUUGAGUUGUUUGGAAUAAGGGGACCACAACUGCCAAAGUCCUUAAUGAAUGCGAAUACAAGCACAAUAUGUUUGACGGGCUUUCUUACGACGUUUAUUCAAUAGAAGGCGAUAUCAGUGCGUUUUAGUCAUAAGCACGUCAGUUCCCACCCUACCACAAACGAUGUUCAAGAAGCUCUAAAAAAGGUGCAUUAGUCUAGGCUGGGCAACAUGGUACAUUAACAAGUGGACAUUAUUUCACUGGAAAAUCAAGUUUUGGUGAUGUUUGGAAUGUGUAUCUCAAGUGAGAAUUCAGCUGCCAGGGCAUUAGGUUUGCUCAGCAAAAAAAUGUGGUGGUUGUGUGCUUUAACCGCUACACCAAAAACUCCAUUACAGUUAAAAGCAACAAAUACUGUUUAUAACGACAUUUGCACUAAUCUGGGUUGAGAGAUUAAUCUCUUGAACCAUCCCAAAAAUUCUGUAAACAAAUUGAAAAGCCUGUCGAAUGCCUCCCAGUCGAAACAGUUUGCGCGUAUAUUGCAACAACAUUUUGUGACGUUAUUCUUUGUUUUGGCUGUUUUUUGUUGUUGUCUGUUUGCGCACACAAACAUUUUUUUCUUGAGGCAAGUUGAAGUUUGGUAGCCCAAGUAUAUGCCCCUUCGUCGGUGAUUGGUCAACAGUACUACUCCUAGUAGCGGUGGGAACUAUAGACAGGAUUCUUCAAAUUUCAUGCACAUUUUCUCACUUGAGAAAUACUGCACCAAACAUCUUAGUUAGAUGUAAAAUUACUAAGACCUCCUCAGCAAAAAUGCCAACAUUAAUUACUAAUAAUUCUUGAUUUAUCUUCGAUGAAUUCUGACUCUUUUGAGGAAGUGUUAUUGGCUAAGUUGUUGCUACGGCAUCUCAAGAGGGACAAACCGUAAUAUUGCUGUUUUUUUCUUGUUUUUCAAGCGAAGGUCUUUUUAAGGGAGUUUGCUAGUAGCAAACCAAACCUAGUUUGCAGGCCCAUUUAGCAGUGACCCAAUUUUUUUCCCCAUACUGAAUUCCUAAAUCUAAAAACUGGGAGGUGGAGGGUUUAGAAACAGAUCACUGUUAUCACUGCUUCAGCUAAAUGUUGUAACAACUUAUAGAUAAAGCUGCAAAAAACAAUACAUUCAAAAGUUGAUUCCCAUCAAGCUUGAGUUUGACUCCAGUAAAUUGGUUGAUAAAAGUAAUGUUUUACUAUGCAGAAAUAAUAAUAUAUGCCAUUUAGCAGACGCUUUUAUCCAAAGCGACUUACAGUCAUGUGUGCAUACAUUCUACGUAUGGGUGGUCCCGGGAAUCGAACCCACUACCCUGGCGUUACAAGCGCCAUGCUCUACCAACUGUGCUACAGAAGGACUAUAUUAUUAUUAUUAUAUAUAUUAUUAUUAUUAUUAUUAUUAUAUAUUAUAUAUUAUUAUUAUUAUAUAUUACUAUGCAGAAGACAACUAGUACUACAGUAUAUAAUGUAUACAAUGCAUUCGGAAAGUAUUCCGACGCCUAGACCUUUUCCACAUUUUGUUACGUUACAGCCAUAUUCUGAAAUGGUUUAAAUUUAUUUUUUAUUUUUAUCUACACACAAUACCCCUUAAUGACAUAGCAAAAACAGGUUUUUAGUCUUGAGUCUUCUUGGCUAUGACGCUACAAGCUUGGCACACAUGUAUUUGGGGAGUUUCUCCCAUUCUUCUCUGCAGAUCCUCACAAGCUCUCAGGUUGGAUGGGGAGCAUCGAUGCACUGCUAUGUUCAGGUCUCUCUCCAGAGUUCGAUCUGGUUCAAGAAUCAUUCAAGGACAUUCAGAGACUUGUUCCGAAGCCACUCCUGCAUUGUCUUGGCUGUGUGCUUAGGGUCAUUGUCCUGUUGGAAGGUGAACCUUCACUCCAGUCUGAGGUCCUGAGUGCUCUGGAGCAGGUUUUCAUCAGGGAUUUCUCUGUACUUUGCUCCAUUUAUCUUUCCCUCAAUUCUGACUAGUCUCCCAGUCCCUGCCCCUGAAAAACAUCCCCACAGCAUGAUACUGCCACCCCCAUGCUUCAACGUAGGGAUGAUGCCAGGUUUCCUUCAGACGUGACGCUUGGCAUUCAGGCCAAAGAGUUCAAUCUUGGUUUUCAUCAGACCAGAGAAUCUUGUUUCUCUUAGUCUGAGUCCUUUAGGUGCCUUUAGGCAAACAUGUGCCUUUUACUGAGGAGUGGCUUUGUCUGGCCACUCUACCAUAAAGGCCUGAUCGGUGGAGUGCUGCAGAGAUGGUUGUGCUUCUGGAAGGUUCUCCUAUCUCCACAGGGGAACUCUGGAGCUCUGUCAGAGUGACCAUCGGGUUCUUGGUCACCGCCCUUCUCUCCCGAUUGCUCAGGCCAGCUCUAGGAAGAUUCUUGGUGGUUCCAAACUUCUUCCAUUUAAUAAUUAUGGAGGCCACUGUGUUCUUGGGGACCUUCAAUGCUACAGACAUUUUUUGCUACCCUUCCCUAGAUCUGUGCCUUGACACAAUACUGUCUCGGGGCUCUAUGGACAAUUCCUUCGACAUCAUGGAUUGGUUUUUGCUCUGACACGCACUGUCAACCGUGGGACAGGUGUGUGCCUUUUCAAAUCAUGUCCAAUCAAUUGAAUUUACCACAGGUGGACGCCAAUCAAGUUGUAGAAACAUCAAGGAUGAUCAAUGGAAACAGGAUGCACCUGAGCUUAAUUUCGAGUCUCAUAGCAAAGUGUCUGAAUACUUAUGUAAAUUAUAUAUUUAGUUUGCUUUAUACAUUUGCAAAACAUUUGAUAAACCUGUUUUUGCUUUGUCAUUGUGGGGUAUUGUGUGUAAAUUGAUGAGGGAAAAUAAUGUAUUUAUCCAUUUUAGAGUAAGGCUGUAACGUAACAAUGUGGAAAAAGUCAAGGGGUCUGAACUUUCCGAGUGCACUGUAUUUCAUAAUAAUAAAACGGUGAUAGCCUUCUAAGUUACGUCGAACACAGAAAUACAAUGCUUUGGAUUAUGGUCAAUGUUGCAGUUCACAAUGCUUCCAGCUUGAAUGAAAUACAAGGUAUACCAACGUAUGUACAAUCUAGGUAUACCUGGAUUCUUUCCUUCGAAAUAUGUCAGUAUCGGUAACCAUGGCAAAAUUACAGUAACAUCAGUCUUUCAAUCAACCCUUUAGUUUGAUUAUGAACAAAAUGUGUUUUCUGUUGGGAGAUCCUAAUGCUUCCUUUGAAUCUAUAUAUUUAUAUAAUAUUCAUUUCACCUGCAGCACUGUACAGGUCUGUAAAUAACUCACUGAUUAAAAAACGUGAAUAACAAUAAAGCUGAAAUCUAUGCCUUCUA
Long non-coding RNA from Oncorhynchus keta (chum salmon), 5740 nucleotides. RefSeq lists it as uncharacterized. The record is from RefSeq and is a predicted model, not a curated record. NCBI's taxonomy places the organism in Eukaryota, Metazoa, Chordata, Actinopteri, Salmoniformes, Salmonidae. The transcript has 2 exons.